RNAcentral lists this ribosomal RNA (305 nucleotides) under uncultured bacterium. Its description in RNAcentral is "bacterial SSU rRNA". It matches the Rfam family "Bacterial small subunit ribosomal RNA", at positions 337 to 659 of the family's 1533-position model. The record is from RNAcentral.
CCCUACGGGGGGCAGCAGUGGGGAAUAUUGCACAAUGGGGGAAACCCUGAUGCAGCAACGCCGCGUGAGUGAAGAAGUCAUUCGUGAUGUAAAGCUCUAUCAGCAGGGAAGAAAAAGACGGUACCUGACUAAGAAGCCCCGGCUAACUACGUGCCAGCAGCCGCGGUAAUACGUAGGGGGCAAGCGUUAUCCGGAUUUACUGGGUGUAAAGGGAGCGUAGACGGCUGUGCAAGUCUGAAGUGAAAGCCCAGGGCUCAACCCUGGGACUGCUUUGGAAACUGUGGAGCUAGAGUGCUGGCGAGGUA